CCUACGGGAGGCUGCAGUGGGGAAUAUUGGGCAAUGGGCGCAAGCCUGACGCAGCAACGCCGCGUGAAGGAAGAAGGCUUUCGGGUUGUAAACUUCUGUUCUCAGGGACGAAGCAAGUGACGGUACCUGAAGAAGAAGCCACGGCUAACUACGUGCCAGCAGCCGCGGUAAUACGUAGGUGGCAAGCGUUAUGCGGAUUUACUGGGUGUAAGGGGCGUGUAGGCGGGACUGCAAGUCAGUUGUGAAAACCCCGGGCUCAACCUGUGGACUGCAUUUGAAACUGUAGUUCUUGAGUACUGGAGAGGCAGACGGAAUUCCUAGUGUAGCGGUGAAAGGCGUAGAUAUUAGGAGGAACACCAGUGGCGAAGGCGGUCUGCUGGACAGCAACUGACGCUGAGGCGCGAAAGCGUGGGGAGCAAACAGGAUUAGAUACCCUUGUAGUC
This 443-nucleotide ribosomal RNA is filed under the name uncultured bacterium. RNAcentral describes it as "partial 16S ribosomal RNA". It matches the Rfam family "Bacterial small subunit ribosomal RNA", at positions 338 to 795 of the family's 1533-position model. The record is from RNAcentral.